This 502-nucleotide ribosomal RNA is filed under the name uncultured Glomeromycotina. RNAcentral describes it as "partial small subunit ribosomal RNA". It matches the Rfam family "Eukaryotic small subunit ribosomal RNA", at positions 591 to 1092 of the family's 1831-position model. The record is from RNAcentral. Lineage: Eukaryota; Fungi; Glomeromycota.
CCAAUAGCGUAUAUUAAAGUUGUUGCAGUUAAAAAGCUCGUAGUUGAAUUUCGGGAUCUGUCUGUCGGUCGGGCUUUAUUGUCCGCACUGAUUUGAUGGAUUCUUACCUUCUGAAUAACCAGCAUGCCAUUAAGUUGGUGCGUUGGGGAAGCAGAGCUAUUACCUUGAAAAAAUUAGAGUGCUUAAAGCAGGCUAGUGCUUGAAUAGAUUAGCAUGGAAUAAUAAAAUAGGACGGCAUGGUUCUAUUUUGUUGGUUUCUAGGAUCACCGUAAUGAUUAAUAGGGAUAGUUGGGGGCAUUAGUAUUCAAUUGUCAGAGGUGAAAUUCUUGGAUUUAUUGAAGACUAACUACUGCGAAAGCAUUUGCCAAGGAUGUUUUCAUUAAUCAAGAACGAAAGUUAGGGGAUCGAAGACGAUCAGAUGCCGUCGUAGUCUUAACCAUAACCUAUGCCGACUAGGGAUCGGACGAAGUUAAUUUUUUAAUGACUCGUUCGGCGCCUUACG